RNAcentral lists this ribosomal RNA (252 nucleotides) under uncultured bacterium. RNAcentral's name for it is "partial 16S ribosomal RNA". It matches the Rfam family "Bacterial small subunit ribosomal RNA", at positions 524 to 776 of the family's 1533-position model. The record is from RNAcentral.
UACGUAGGAUGCGAGCGUUAUCCGGAUUUAUUGGGUUUAAAGGGUGCGUAGGCGGACUGUCAAGUCAGCGGUAAAAUUGAGAGGCUCAACCUCUUCCCGCCGUUGAAACUGGUGGUCUUGAGUGGAUGAGAAGUACGCGGAAUGCGUGGUGUAGCGGUGAAAUGCAUAGAUAUCACGCAGAGCUCCGAUUGCGAAGGCAGCGUACCGGCAUCCAACUGACGCUGAGGCACGAAAGCGUGGGGAUCAAACAGG